UUAUAAGAGACAGCAGCAGCCGCGGGAAUACAGAGGGUGCAAGCGUUAAUCGGAAUUACUGGGCGUAAAGCGCACGCAGGUGGUUUGUUAAGUCAGAUGUGAAAUCCCCGAGCUUAACUUGGGAACUGCAUUUGAAACUGGCAAGCUAGAGUCUUGUAGAGGGGGGUAGAAUUCCAGGUGUAGCGGUGAAAUGCGUAGAGAUCUGGAGGAAUACCGGUGGCGAAGGCGGCCCCCUGGACAAAGACUGACGCUCAGGUGCGAAAGCGUGGGGAGCAAACAGGAUUAGAUACCCCGGUAGUCCCUGUCUCUUAUAC
Molecule: ribosomal RNA, 314 nt
Filed under: uncultured bacterium
Lineage: Bacteria
Description: partial 16S ribosomal RNA
Rfam family: Bacterial small subunit ribosomal RNA
Source: RNAcentral